AGCGGCGGACGGGUGAGUAACGCGUGGGUAACCUGCCUCAUACACAUGGAUAACAUACCGAAAGGUAUGCUAAUACAAGAUGAUAUAAGAGAUUCGCAUGGAUUUCUUAUCAAAGCUUCGGCGGUAUGAGAUGGACCCGCGUCUGAUUAGCUAGUUGGUAAGGUAACGGCUUACCAAGGCGACGAUCAGUAGCCGACCUGAGAGGGUGAUCGGCCACAUUGGAACUGAGACACGGUCCAAACUCCUACGGGAGGCAGCAGUGGGGAAUAUUGCACAAUGGGCGAAAGCCUGAUGCAGCAACGCCGCGUGAGCGAUGAAGGCCUUCGGGUCGUAAAGCUCUGUCCUCAAGGAAGAUAAUGACGGUACUUGAGGAGGAAGCCCCGGCUAACUACGUGCCAGCAGCCGCGGUAAUACGUAGGGGGCUAGCGUUAUCCGGAUUUACUGGGCGUAAAGGGUGCGUAGGUGGUUUCUUAAGUCAGGAGUGAAAGGCUACGGCUCAACCGUAGUAAGCUCUUGAAACUGGGAAACUUGAGUGCAGGAGAGGAAAGUGGAAUUCCUAGUGUAGCGGUGAAAUGCGUAGACAUUAGGAGGAACACCAGUAGCGAAGGCGGCUUUCUGGACUGUAACUGACACUGAGGCACGAAAGCGUGGGGAGCAAACAGGAUUAGAUACCCUGGUAGUCCACGCCGUAAACGAUGAGUACUAGGUGU
RNAcentral lists this ribosomal RNA (710 nucleotides) under uncultured bacterium. RNAcentral describes it as "bacterial SSU rRNA". It matches the Rfam family "Bacterial small subunit ribosomal RNA", at positions 94 to 823 of the family's 1533-position model. The record is from RNAcentral.